CGACCACCGCGCGAAGAACGCCGAGUUCCUACGCUGCUCCCGCCGCCGCCAGGGGGCGCCCGACCGGCCCUCUCAGCCGCGGGAACGGAAGUUUGUCCUCCUCGGAACUGACCCCGGGAGACGCCGCGGCCUGCGGACACCGCGGGGCCGAGCCCAUGGCGGGAACCGCAGCUUCGUUCUCCUCUGGACCGGGCCGGGGAGACGCCAUCGGGACCUGACUGGCGGGGACUGGGAAAGACGCGGGAAGGGCGCGGGAGAGGCGAGGAAGGUGAGGAAGGUGUGCCUCGGAGAGCCCCAGGUGCUGGCUCCUGGUAACGCACCUGUCCCUGUCAGCUGUCAACUCACCUGCUCCAGCGCCUCUGAGAGCCCCAGGAACGCGUCCGAGUGGUGCACCUGUCACCUGUAACUCACCUGCCGCUCUCCCGUCAGCUGUCACUCACCUGGAUCUGGCCUCUGAGAGCCCCAGGCGCUGCCUGAGCUCCUGGAGCACGGACCAUCUUGGUGAUGCACCCGUCACCUGUCACUCACCCGUCAGCUGUCACUCACCUGGACGCGGGCCUCCGAGAGCCCCAAGCGCUGGCUGAGCUCCUCGCGCAUGAACGCGUCUGGGUAGUGCGUCUCUUCGAACAGGCGCUCCAGCGCCUGCAGCUGCUCCAGUGAGAAGUUCGUGCGGCUUCGCCGCGGCUUCAGCCGGGCCCCGCCCCCGCCGCCUUCCUCCUCCUCCUCCUCUUCGGCCUUCAGGGCGCCUGUGCGGGAGGGGGUGGGGCAGGGAGGGGAAGAGACCGGGUCUGCAGCGGGCCCAGGACUUGCACGUGUGCUGGAGGUGGGAUCCAGGCUGGGCAUGCUGCUUUACUCUCGACCGUCGGUCAUUAAUUAUCGAAUAUCGAUUAAUUGUUAUUUACUAUCAAUUAUUUAACUAUCCAUUAUUGGUCAUUGAUUAUUAGUAUUGAUAAUCGAUCAAUUAUUGCUGGUUGAGAAUUAUUGCUAGUAUUGACGGUCUACUAUUGAUAAUUGACUUCAUCUGUUAUUAAUGAUUAAUGUUAAGUAUUAAUUACUACCAAUUAGUUAUUGAUAUUAUUGAUUAUUAAUAAUUCUUAUUGGCUAUGGAUUGUGAUCGUUUUUCGAGUCCACCGCUGCCGGCGACGACCACAGCGUGAGAGCCCCACACGCGCUGGGCCCGCUAAAGACUGCCUUAUGACUAUUAAUUAUUUAUUAUUAUUAAUAAUUAUUUCUAUUUUGGCUCCGCCACUGCGGCUACAACAACGUACCAGUGUCCUCUGGGUGCAUGGGCAAUCCGCACGCGCUGGGCCCUCCAAACCCUUUAUUAUUAGUGUAGUUAACUAAUAUUAUUAUUAUUAUAUCUUCUUCACCACUGCCGGUUACAACAAAGCACAAGUUUCUGCUGGGUGCGUGCGAGACCCGCACAUGCUGGGUCCUCCGAAUGCUCCUUCUUUAUUACUAUUUAUUAUUAUUAUUCUGAUGAAGACCGAAGUGUGCGAGACAAUCACCGGGCCUCCGGAGGCUGUCUGUGGUUAUUAUUUAUUAAUAAUUAUUAUUAAUAAUAAUCAUUCUUUCGUCUCCACCACUUCCGGCUACAGCCACACACGAGUUUCCACUGAGUGCGUGCCAGACCCGCAUGCACUGGGCCCUCUGAAUGCUUUAUUAUUAUUAUUUAUUAAUAUUAUUAACUACUAUCAGUGUCGUUUCUGCUCCACUACUGCCAGCUACAACAAUGUACGAGUGCCGCUGGUUGCGUGCAAGACAGCUGGGCCCUCCGAAUGCUGCUUUAGUAUUAUUAACUAAUAUUAACUAAUAAUUAAAAUAAUGUUGCACUAGUUUCUGCUGGCUAUGUGUGAGACCCUAACGCUCCGAAUGCUCCAUUAUUAAUCCUCAUUAUUAAUUACUAUUAUUGAUAUUUCUCCGUUUCCGCCUGCCAAAACGGACUUUUUUUUUUAAUGUUUGCCUUGGGAGGAAGCAGGCCUGAGUGAGCCAGGCCAGGAGGUCUGCGCGCCCUGUGCCCUGGUCCAGGACCCCCGCCCUCCCCCACCCCAGCCCUGCCACCUGCGAGGCCCCUGGGCCUGGUUUUGAUUUGCACCUGGGCGGCUGCCUGCCUGUGACGGAAAUGAGGGCAAAAAAAAAAAAAAUAGAUUUUGACCCGGACUUUGUGCAAAUGCAGUGAGGAGACCCGGACUUUGUGCAAAUCCUCAGAGAAUCGGACUUGGUGGAAAUUGUUUAAGGAGAUUGGUAUUCUGUGCAAAUCCUCUGAGGAGACCAGCACUUUGUGUAAAUCCUGUGAGGAGACCCCGGCGUGGUGCAAGUCUUCUGAGGUGACUGAUGUUUUGUGCCAGUCGUCUGAGGAGACUGACAUUUUGUACCAGUCGUCUGAGGAGACCAGGACUUCGUGCAAAUCGUCCGAGACUGGGAAUUUGGGCAAAUGCUUUGAGGAGACCCAGACUUUGCGCAAUCUUCUGAGGACACCAGGCUUUGUGCAAAGCGUCUGAGGAGACCGGGACUUUGUGCAAAUCCUUUGAGGAGACCCGGACUUUGUGCAAAUUAUCUGAGGAGAUGGAUAUUUUUUGCAAAAUCUUUGAGGAGACUCGGAUUUUGCGCAAUCUUCUGAGGAUACCCGGGCUUUGUGCAAAGCGUCUGAGGAGAUCGGGACUUUGUGCAAAUCUGAGGUGAUUGAUAUUUUGUGCAAAUCGUCUGAGGAGACUCGGACUUUGUGCAAAUCAUCUGAGGAGACCGGGACUUCGUGCAAAUGCUUUGAAGAGACCCGGACUUUGUGCAAUCUUUUGGGGACACCCGGGCUUUUUGCAAAGCGUUUGAGGAGAUCGGGACUUUGUGCAAAUCUGAAGUGAUUGAUAUUUUGUGCGAAUCGUCUGAGGAGACCGAGACUUCGUGCAAAUGCUGUGAGGAGACCCGGACUUUGUGCAGAUCUUCUGAGGUGACUGGUAUCUUGUGCAAAGCGUCUGAGGAGACCGGGACUUCGUGCAAAUCUGAGGUGACUGACGUUUUGUACGAAUCGUCUGAGGAGACCGAGACUUCGUGCAAAUCUGAGGUGACUGACAUUUUGUACGAAUCGUCUGAGGAGACCGAGACUUCGUGCAAAUCUGAGGUGACUGACAUUUUGUACGAAUCGUCUGAGGAGACCGAGACUUCGUGCAAAUCUGAGGUGACUGACAUUUUGUACGAAUCGUCUGAGGAGAGCCGGACGUCGUGCAAAUCUCCUGAGGAGACCGAUAUUUUGUUCGAGCCGGCUGUGAAGAUUCGGACUUCGUGCAAAUGCUCUGAGAAGACACAGACUUCGUGCAGAUGCUGUGAGGAGACUCGGAAUUUGUGCAGAUCUUCCGAGGAGACUGAUAUUUUGCUCAGCUCCUCUGAGGAGACCGGGACUUUGUGCAGAUCUUCUGAGGAGACUGAUACUUUGUUCAAAUCGCUGUGGAGACCCAGACUUUGUGCAAAUCCUGUGAGGAGACCCGGACUUUGUGCAAAUUGUCUGAGGAGACCCGGACUUUCUCACAGUCGGCGGGUGGCGGACCGCGGGGAGCACCCCGCGUGCUUGCGCGUACACCUCAGAGACGGCGGCUGCUUGGCCGGGGGGGGGGGGGUCCCCCGGUGGACAGCGAGACCCCUCCCCUCUCCCCCACGUCAGCCCUGGCCCUGGCCCUGUCUGUUUCCUUAGCGAUCCUACAGAGAGACUUGAGUGAGCUCCGGGUGGGGGAGUAAUCUUACCUUCGGGGGCGCCCCUGGACGCGCCAGGGUCCCGGCUUCGGUCCUUGUGUCCGUCGUCGUCCGCCGGGUCCUUGAACAGCCGCAGCGCGCAGCGUCCGGUGCCGCCGUCGUCGCUGCGGUCCGCCAGGCCAGGCUCCAGAACUUGGCGGAAGCUGAGUGGGUCCCGCUUGGGUCCGCCAUCCGCACCUUCCCCACCCGAGGGACUGGGGCGAUCGAAAGAUUGGGACACGAAGGCGGCGACAUGGGAAAUCUAUAGUUGAGAGCAUCGACGAGGGAGAUUCGGGGAUCUGCAGCCCGGGCGCCCCGCCCCGCACCGGCCCGGGAGGGAGAGGCCGACACUUGGUCGCGAUCUGUGAGAGGGAGGCUUUGCAGCGACGGGCUGAGGAGACCCGGACUUGUGCGAAUCCUCUGAGGCCAGAGACUGUGCGCAUCGUCUGAGGGACUGACACUGUCUAGCGAUCGGGUGAGGAGACUGAUACUUGGUGUGCAAGAUCCUCGGAGGAGGUUGAUGCUUUGUAGAGAUCUGCGCGGUGAUUGACACUUGGUGGGGUCUUGAGGAGACUGACACUUUGUGCCAAUCAUCUGAGAUUGACACUUUCCGUCAAUCAUCUGAGGAGAUUGACACUUUGUGCCAAUCGUCUGAGGCGAUUGCUAUUUUCCAGUCCGCUGAGGAGAUCGAGAUGUUGUGCCAGUCAUCUCAGGAGAUUGACAGCUGGCGGCGAUCGCCUCUGUCCGGCCGUUUGCGCUGAGGCCGCCAGAGCUACGCGCUCUCCGGAGGCGCCCGGGGGCAGCGGAGCGAGGCGCCCGGGAGAGGCCGUGCGGGGCAGCCCGCACCCCGCGGU
Oryctolagus cuniculus (rabbit) is the source of this 4574-nucleotide non-coding RNA. The record is from RefSeq and is a predicted model, not a curated record. NCBI's taxonomy places the organism in Eukaryota, Metazoa, Chordata, Mammalia, Lagomorpha, Leporidae.